CCUGGGGAAGUGAGUCAUAACAAGGCAAAAAGGGAGUUUCACUGCCACGCUGAGCUGAUGACAAAGAUGAGCCCAAAAUAUGAAACCUUUGCAUUCUUCACAUCUUUUUUCCACACGAGCCUUGGAUCCCCAGACCUGCAGCAUGGCUUUGAUGUCCUAAGCAGCACUGGAAGCUGUGGGACCUGCUUCCAGGCAGGAGACUGUUGAGCAGCUGAACUGCAUCCCACAAGCAAAAUAAUGAAUGCUCUGAAAGGAGGAGAGCAAAGACAGUCCCAUCCUUUGAGCUGGCCACUUGACUUGCUCCAUGACUAUAUUUUAUCUGUGCCUUAAACCUUAGCAAUU
Long non-coding RNA from Pogoniulus pusillus (Red-fronted tinkerbird), 342 nucleotides. RefSeq lists it as uncharacterized. The record is from RefSeq and is a predicted model, not a curated record. Lineage: Eukaryota; Metazoa; Chordata; Aves; Piciformes; Lybiidae. The transcript has 3 exons.